AGUAGCAUUGGCAAUUGUUGUCCUUAUCAGCGGCCGACAAGGCAGAAUUGGAACGGUGCUGCUCCUGACUACCUCUACUCCAUGCUAGGCUUAGGGGCUGUAGUCACCCAAGCCCUCAGGGACCUGCAGCUGCUGAAGUCCUCUCAUCACCUGCAGUAUCCCAGAAGGCAAAGACAGGGCCAAAUACUGGAUUCUGGAUUCUCUUCAUUGUUGCCCCUGCAAUUGGAGAGGUAUCCAGGCUGGGCCUUGUCCUAAGAUAUGACG
RNAcentral lists this long non-coding RNA (264 nucleotides) under Pongo abelii (Sumatran orangutan). RNAcentral describes it as "lincRNA". Lineage: Eukaryota; Metazoa; Chordata; Mammalia; Primates; Hominidae. The record is from RNAcentral.